GUAGUCUCGCACAGAUGCAUAUCAAUAAGCGGAGGAAAAGAAACUAACAAGGAUUCCCCUAGUAACGGCGAGUGAAGCGGGAAGAGCUCAAAUUUGAAAUCUUAAAGGGUUUCCCUUUAUGAAUUGUAGUUUAAAGAAGUGUUUUCUGUUGAGGUUUUGGUAAAAGUUCUUUGGAAUAGGACAUCAUAGAGGGUGAGAAUCCCGUAUUUGACCUUUACUUUCAACUUUGUGAUACACUUUCAAAGAGUCGGAUUGUUUGGGAAUGCAGUCCAAAAUGGGUGGUAAAUUUCAUCUAAAGCUAAAUAUUGGCGAGAGACCGAUAGCGAACAAGUACCGUGAGGGAAAGAUGAAAAGAACUUUGAAAAGAGAGUUAAACAGUACGUGAAAUUGUCAAAAGGGAAGCGUUUGACACCAGUGUUGUUUUUCUGAAAAUCAAUUAAAGAACUGUUUAUGCUAAGCUGUUUAGACUUUAUCAGCUAUCUGUUUAGUUUUGAGCUUUUCUUUAAUGCACUUUUCAGUUAACAAGUCAACAUCAAUUUCUUUUGCUGUAAAAAAGCUUGAGGAAGGUGGCUUGAGAUUCGUCUUAAGUGUUUAUAGCCUCUUGCCUAUGCAGUCGGAGAGAUUGAGGUCUGCAGCGUAGAUCCUUCGGGGCUAAAUGCAUUUGUGCUAAGUUAUAGCAUUUUAUAGACAACUUGUUGACUAUGAUUUGUCUUGUAGCUUACUCGCUUAUGUUAUUUUACCUACGCUUAGGAUGUUGAACUACUGAGACAUAGA
RNAcentral lists this ribosomal RNA (774 nucleotides) under uncultured Neocallimastigales. RNAcentral's name for it is "partial large subunit ribosomal RNA". It matches the Rfam family "Eukaryotic large subunit ribosomal RNA", at positions 24 to 644 of the family's 3401-position model. Lineage: Eukaryota; Fungi; Neocallimastigomycota; Neocallimastigomycetes; Neocallimastigales. The record is from RNAcentral.